GUGAAUCAUCAAAUCUUUGAACGCAAAUUGCACUCUCCUCGGAGAGUAGGCCUGUUUGAGGGUCAGCCUAUAAAAAAUCAACAUUGUUGCUGUUUCGCUUUGGCGUUCGUUGGUAGUUUGGUUAUCUUAAAUCCUUUUGGGUUUUAAGCGACUUCAAAUUUUCUUUUUGUUUCCAUGAACGUUUCUACGAUUGAUUUCUUUACAUGUUUAAGGUAUCGAUUUUUAUUAGACGUGACCAUCAUAUCGGAUAGCGUUCAUAAUCUUUCUUU
RNAcentral lists this unclassified non-coding RNA (269 nucleotides) under Glomeraceae sp. Its description in RNAcentral is "partial contains 5.8S ribosomal RNA and internal transcribed spacer 2". The stretch from base 1 to 65 matches the Rfam family "5.8S ribosomal RNA", at positions 84 to 154 of the family's 154-position model. The record is from RNAcentral. Lineage: Eukaryota; Fungi; Glomeromycota; Glomeromycetes; Glomerales; Glomeraceae.